GGAAUUUUGCACAAUGGGCGCAAGCCUGAUGCAGCGACGCCGCGUGGGGGAUGAAUGCCUUCGGGUUGUAAACCCCUUUCAGGAGGGACGAAGCGAAAGUGACGGUACCUCCAGAAGAAGCCUCGGCCAACUACGUGCCAGCAGCCGCGGUAAUACGUAGGGGGCGAGCGUUGUCCGGAUUUAUUGGGCGUAAAGAGCUCGUAGGCGGCUCAACAACUCGGCCGUGAAAGCCUGAGGCUCAACCUCAGGACGCCGGUCGAAACUGAUGUGGCUAGGGUUCGGUAGAGGAGAGUGGAAUUCCCGGUGGAGCGGUGAAAUGCGCAGAUAUCGGGAGGAACACCAGUAGCGAAGGCGGCUCUCUGGGCCGACACCGACGCUGAGGAGCGAAAGCUAGGGGAGCAAACAGGAUUAGAUACCCCCGUAGUCC
Molecule: ribosomal RNA, 427 nt
Filed under: uncultured prokaryote
Description: bacterial SSU rRNA
Rfam family: Bacterial small subunit ribosomal RNA
Source: RNAcentral